UAUGAGCUUGCUCCUGAUGGCGAGUGGCGAACGGGUGAGURAUAURUCGUGAACGCUGCCCWAGAGUGGGGGAUAACUAGUCGAAAGACUAGCUAAUACCGCAUACGAUCUAAGGAUGAAAGUGGGGGAUCGCAAGACCUCAUGCUCGUGGAGCGGCCGAUAUCUGAUUAGCUAGUUGGUGGGGUAAAAGCCUACCAAGGCAACGAUCAGUACGCUGGCUCUGAGAGGACGACCAGCCACACUGGGACUGAGACACGGCCCAGACUCCUACGGGAGGCAGCAGUGGGGAAUUUUGGACAAUGGGGGCAACCCUGAUCCAGCAAUGCCGCGUGAGUGAAGAASGCCUUCGGGUUGUAAAGCUCUUUUGUCAGGGRAGAAACGGUUCUGGAUAAUACCUAMGACUAAUGACGGUACCUGAAGAAUAAGCACCGGCUARCUACGUGCCAGCAGCCGCGGYAAUACGUARGGUGCAAGCGUUAAUCGGAAUUACUGGGCGUAAAGCGUGCGCAGGCGGUUGUGUAAGUCAGAUGUGAAAUCCCCGGGCUCAACCUGGGAAUUGCAUUUGAGACUGCACGGCUAGAGUGUGUCAGAGGGGGGUAGAAUUCCACGUGUAGCAKUGAAAUGCRUAGAUAUGUGGAGGAAUACYGAUGGCGAAGGCAGCCCCCUGGGAUAACACUGACGCUCAUGCACGAAAGC
This 696-nucleotide ribosomal RNA is filed under the name Herbaspirillum frisingense. RNAcentral describes it as "bacterial SSU rRNA". It matches the Rfam family "Bacterial small subunit ribosomal RNA", at positions 73 to 760 of the family's 1533-position model. Lineage: Bacteria; Pseudomonadati; Pseudomonadota; Betaproteobacteria; Burkholderiales; Oxalobacteraceae. The record is from RNAcentral.